Pezoporus occidentalis (night parrot) is the source of this 1982-nucleotide long non-coding RNA. RefSeq lists it as uncharacterized. Lineage: Eukaryota; Metazoa; Chordata; Aves; Psittaciformes; Psittacidae. The record is from RefSeq and is a predicted model, not a curated record. The transcript is spliced from 4 exons.
CCUGCCUGACACCUGUGGUCACCCUCCAUUUUGACUGCCCUCCUCUCUUUCCAGAACGUCCUCUUUUUCCUUCCCUCGUCUGCCCUCGAAGGAAUCCUGUCACCUCUCCAGGGGCCUUUUCCCAAAGGACUUGUGAACAAGCAGGCUAUGUCCUUUGGAAGUCUGAUCAUUCUUGUGCUCUUUGGCAUUUCUUCCAACUUUUCCACAUCUCUCUUGAGCUGCUGGUACUUUAGAUGAAGCCUUACUGGUGUGAAAUGGUUUGGACAGAUUCCUGUGUCUUCUGUGCGAUACUCCUGUUAAGUGCCUUGGUAUCAUCUUUGCUUUGCAGCUGUACGAUAUUGUUGACUCACGCUGUGCUUGUAAAUGAAAUAACAACUUGGGCUUCAAUUCUGUUUGUGGUAUUUCACAUGCAGAAACAAAGCAAGCUGGCAUUUAGCAUCACUCUUGCUAAUCUCAUGUCUCAUUCUCCUACUCAAGAAUUUAACGCAAGUAGCCUUUUAUGGAGGGAAGUAUUUAAAUGCUGCCCAUCAGUGAGGAAGAGUGUUUGGGAGCUCAACAGAUCCCUCAGUGGUUGUCCUGAAUUUCUGAAUUUCUAAUGUCUCAGAAGACUCAUUAUUAAUACCCAAAAAUAGCCAGAUGGCAUGAAACAGUAAAGGCCAAAUAAUUCAUCAUUCUACAGACUUGCGAUGGACUGGCCCCCAGAAAAAUCCACAAUGGUUGAAAAUCUUUUCAUGUGCUGCAGGAGACAGCUCAUGCUGGGGCACCCAGCUCAGGUGCUUGUGAAAUCAGCUGUUAUUUCAUGUAAGCCCAAUAGUUGUGGUGUUAUUUGUAUUAUUUUAAUUCUUUCGUUUCAAGCUGAUGACCAGUUUGGAGGUUACUGAGUUGCCUGUGCUACAUGAUGGUGCUAGACAUAGUCUUGAUGAAGUCCUGUUUAUUUAUGAAGCAUGAAAAAGUCUUCUUUCCUAGAAUGCUGGGUUAAGUAAAGCUCAGACUUUGCACAGUGCUUUGACCAAGGCCAGUGUUUUGACAAAUAUAACCAGCAAAAGUGCACUCUCAAAGUUUCCUCUUGCAUCAGCAGACACAAAAAGGCAUUUUCCUUUCUCCCUCUGUCCCUGACAUGUGCACGUGUUUGGGUUUUAUCUCUCACACAAACACAAAGCUCCAGAUUUCAAAUGCCCUUUUUGCACUUUCUGUGUCAGCCUCAAGGGAAGCCAUGCGAAUAAUGUGCAAUGUACAGAAGCUUUGCUAUGUGCCUGUCAUUGUUUCAGCUCUCUGAUUCUAGACAGAUAUUUGUUAGUCUUUUUGUGUUUAUUUUAAGGAACAGUUAUGGUUACCCACCAAUUUCUGUGAAUUUCCAUGAAACAGAUCUUCAUUCCAGCUUAGCAAGACAUUCACACCAGUAAUUUGAACACUGUUUUUACCUAAACAUUUCCAAUAACACAUUUUGAGGGUGCGUCGUUCUUUUUAGGGUCUUCAUAUUUCCUUGUUCUGAAAACCAGCCUUCCUCCCUGGUAUACUGAGCACAUAUGCUUGCUGCCUGGACUGGUUUUGUACAUUUUAUCUUUGUAUUUAUUUCCUUGUGUGAAAAUGGGCAUUUUGAACAAUAGGAUACCAUGUGUGGCACAUGGUGAGAUCUGAAAGCCUUAAUUUUAAAAACAAUUACAUCCUAAAUGCAUCUGUCAAGCAAGUGGAAAACCUCUAUGUCAAGUAGGGCUGACAAAAGAGAUGAAGAUGUAAUUGCUUCUGGUUUAGUCUAUUUUCUUCAUGAGGUUUAAAGCCUUUCCUGGUGGUCCUUGGGUGGUUCCCUGCAUCCCACUGACUUGCUCCAAUGGACUGAAUAAAUCAUUUUAUCUUUGUGCACAGAUAAUGGCAGUUUUUACCUCCACUGGGUGUCAAGAGGCCAAUGUGCACAGUGUAUGUCAACUACAAGAAGUUGCUUAUUAUGGUCAUUGCAGGCAAAAUGCCAGGAGCUGCUAAUUGGA